This 2371-nucleotide small RNA is filed under the name Theobroma cacao (cacao). Its description in RNAcentral is "sRNA Tc10v2_g013690". Lineage: Eukaryota; Viridiplantae; Streptophyta; Magnoliopsida; Malvales; Malvaceae. The record is from RNAcentral.
CUGUUUGGAGGAGGAGUAGAAGGGCAAAGUAUCAGAAAAGGAGAGAAAGAGGGUUAAGAGUGCCGGCCGGCUAUAUAAGCGGUUGUUGUCUUUUAAGACUUAGGGUUAAGGAUAACAGAUUUUCCCAUUUCUUGUUUUUGACACUUCUCAGGGUUUUUACAAGUAAAGAAGAAGAUGAUGGAGAUGGAAGGAAAGCACAAGAUGGACAGGCUAAGUAACUUACCAAAGGUUUCUAUGACACAUCAAGAAACACAUCAAGAAUUCCUCAUGGUAAACCCACGAAGAUGCAAGGAUUCUAGAGAUUUCCAAACAUUUGUCUAGCUUUUUAGGUUUGAAUUGCAAUGUGUCGUGGAAGUACCUUCGGUAAGUUGCUUAGCCUGUCGUCUACCGUUCAACUUCAUUCGAAAUAUGUUUGUGUUGAAAGGUAAAUAAUAGCAUAAAAAUGUGAAUUUUACACUUAUUUUAGUUGUCUUUUUUUUUAUCUGUUAAACCCUUUUUGAAAUAAAUCGUGAAAACUCAUUUUUUUCAUUAGUUUUUCCGUUUCAUUGAUUUCUUAGGAUAUAGAUUGCAGAGAAGCAGGAAAAUAAUGACAGUUUUCCAACAUUGCAUUGGUAUUAAUUCUGGAUGUAACCUUUUUGGGAUUGAAUGUAAUGAUUACGAAAACUUAAGAUUGUAAUCAUGAGUAGACAAGUACUAUAGUAUGUUUCUGAUUUUGUAUAGGAUUCUUUUUGCUUUUGUUUGAACUUUUUGUAUCUCGAGGGUUUUGUUUUUGCACGCAAAUUUUAUGUUACCUGCAGGUCCGGCCCGCUUGGGAGAAGCUUGUUAGAUGGUCCCGUUUUUGGCGGUCCAAGGCCAAAACUGAUGGUCUUGAACGGACUAAAAAGGUGGUGGUGUUAGGAGGAGGAUCAUUUGGCACUGCAAUGGCUGCACAUGUUGCCAAUAAAAAGACUCAAAUGGAAGUUAGCAUGCUUGUACGAGAUCCUGCAGUUUGGUAAUCCAUUAAUGAGAACCAUUGUAAUUGGUGGGGUGUUUCUUUUAUUUUUUCCAUUCUUUGAAUUAUGUCCCGCUUUACAAUUAUAUGAUGAUGGUACUCAUCGAGUUUAAUUGACCUCAGAACAUUAUCUAUCUUCACUGUUCUCAGAACAUACUUUCCUGAACACAAGCUACCAGAAAAUGUGGUUGCAACUGCUGAUGCCAGAACUGCUUUGCUCGGGGCAGACUAUUGCCUUCAUGCUGUACCUAUGCAGGCCUUUCAAGUUGUUUGAUUAUGUUGAUGAUUGUUGCACUCAAAGAUGUGAUUGAUUUUUCCUUUCUGUUAAAUUUUAUCGCAUAAACAUGAUUUUCCACAAUAAACAAUUGUUACAUAGGGUCAUGUAACGUGUCUAAUUCUGUUUAAUAUCAACUAUGGAGAACUAUUUAGCUUAUUUUGCAGUCUGAGGCAACUGCCUGAAUCUUGCCUUCUCUAAUGCAGUUCAGUGCAACUUUUUUUAUGGGCAUUGCAGAACAUGUUGAUCCUGGCUUGCCAUUUAUAUCCGUUAGCAAAGACUUAGAGCUCAAUACAUUGAAGAUGAUGCCUGCAAGCAUUGAAAAUUGAAAUCACAGUUGGAAUAGAAAUGAUGCACUUUCAACUUCUUGUUAUUUGGUUUCUGUUUAUUCCUUGUUUUAACAACUCCUCUUAAUUGAUUUUUGUGAUUGAUACACAAGUCUUUUGACCAAAAAUUGAAGUUUUUAUUAUGUUUUACUUGUUUUUAUGUAAUGGGUUUCACUUCAAUUUAGUUAUUGUUUAUUAUGUUAGCUAUGGUUGUUGAGUGCUGCUGUGUUUGGGAAGUUGUUAAUGGGCUUUUUUGCCACCUAGCAUUUUCUUGUAUCCUUAUUUAAUGGGCUCUUGUUGGUGUAAAGGAAGGACUGGUUUUAUGUAUUCGAAUUUGGAAAUAGCUAUGCAAAAUUUUGCUUACAUUUGCAAUCUGGUGAGCUAUACUUUAUUUAUCUGGUUUGUUGAUUAUGUGGCAAUUUUUCUGGCAAUAUAUGUUUGUUCCUGCUGCUAAAUUUUGAAGUGAGGAGGCGGGGAAUGAUAUCAAGACCUUGUCCUUAAACAUUUUGAAGUCAUCUGGGAAGGAAUCACCAAAAAACAAGAAUGAGGUAUGAGGAGUACAUUGAUUAAGUAUUACCAGAGGAAAACCAGAGUAUGAGUCUCAAGAUUUGAGAAGCUGCUUACAAAUGGAACAAAGCACAACAUCUCUUGUGAUGAGGACUAGGAAGACACCCCUUUCAAUUGUAAACACAAGCUCUGCUGCUUUUUAAAGGGUAAAUACAAUACUGGGAAUCGCUGUUAGAACUUGGAAUAGAAAUGAAGCACAUUCAACUUUUUUUU